UACGUAGGGGGCUAGCGUUGUCCGGAUUUAUUGGGCGUAAAGAGCGUGUAGGCGGCCAUGUAGGUCCGGUGUGAAAACUCGAGGCUUAACCUCGAGAUGUCAUCGGAAACCAUUUGGCUAGAGAUCGAGAGAGGAUAGUGGAAUUCCUAGUGUAGAGGUGAAAUUCGUAGAUAUUAGGAGGAACACCAGUGGCGAAGGCGGCUAUCUGGCUCGAUACUGACGCUCAUGUGCGAAAGCGUGGGGAGCAAACAGG
RNAcentral lists this ribosomal RNA (253 nucleotides) under uncultured bacterium. Its description in RNAcentral is "partial 16S ribosomal RNA". It matches the Rfam family "Bacterial small subunit ribosomal RNA", at positions 524 to 776 of the family's 1533-position model. The record is from RNAcentral.